RNAcentral lists this ribosomal RNA (858 nucleotides) under Oxyporus populinus. RNAcentral describes it as "partial large subunit ribosomal RNA". It matches the Rfam family "Eukaryotic large subunit ribosomal RNA", at positions 76 to 915 of the family's 3401-position model. Lineage: Eukaryota; Fungi; Basidiomycota; Agaricomycetes; Hymenochaetales; Schizoporaceae. The record is from RNAcentral.
UCCCCUAGUAACUGCGAGUGAAGCGGGAAAAGCUCAAAUUUAAAAUCUGGCGGUUGCACCGUCCGAGUUGUAAUCUGGAGAAGCGUUUUCCGUGCUGGACCGUGUACAAGUCCCUUGGAACGGGGCGUCAUAGAGGGUGAGAAUCCCGUCCAUGACACGGACUGCCAGUGCUUUGUGAUACGCUCUCGAAGAGUCGAGUUGUUUGGGAAUGCAGCUCAAAAUGGGUGGUAAAUUCCAUCUAAAGCUAAAUAUUGGCGAGAGACCGAUAGCGAACAAGUACCGUGAGGGAAAGAUGAAAAGCACUUUGGAAAGAGAGUUAAACAGUACGUGAAAUUGUUGAAAGGGAAACGCUUGGAGUCAGUCGCGUCUGUCGAGACUCAGCCUUGCCUUCGGGCUUGGUGUACUUCUCGGCCUGACGGGCCAACAUCGAUUUUGAACGGCGGAUAAAGGUCUGGGGAAGGUGGCACCUUCGGGUGUGUUAUAGCCCCUCUCCGUAUACGUCGUCUGGGAUCGAGGACCGCAGCACGCCCUUGUGGCUGGGGCCCUUUGCCCACAUAACGUGCUUAGGAUGUUGGCGUAAUGGCUUUAAGCGACCCGUCUUGAAACACGGACCAAGGAGUCUAACAUGCCCGCGAGUGUUAGGGUGUAAAACCCUUGCGCGUAAUGAAAGUGAAAGUUGGGACCUCUGUCGAGGAGGGCACCGACGCCCGGCCCUGAACUCUUGUGACGGUGCUGCGGUAGAGCGUGUAUGUUGGGACCCGAAAGAUGGUGAACUAUGCCUGAAUAGGGCGAAGCCAGAGGAAACUCUGGUGGAGGCUCGUAGCGAUUCUGACGUGCAAAUCGAUCGUCAAAUUUGGG